Molecule: ribosomal RNA, 435 nt
Filed under: uncultured bacterium
Lineage: Bacteria
Description: partial 16S ribosomal RNA
Rfam family: Bacterial small subunit ribosomal RNA
Source: RNAcentral
GAUGAACGCUGGCGGUAUGCUUAACACAUGCAAGUCGAACGGACUCUUCGUAGUUAGUGGCGGACGCGUGAGUAACGCGUGAGAAUCUGGCUUUGGGUUCGGGACAACCACUGGAAACGGUGGCUAAUACCGGAUGUGCCGAGAGGUAAAAGAGAAAGUGCCUGAAGAUGAGCUCGCGUCUGAUUAGCUAGUUGGUGAGGUAAAGGCUCAGCAAGGCAGCGAUCAGUAGCUGGUUUGAGAGGAUGACCAGCCACACUGGGACUGAGACACGGCCGAGACGCCUACGGGAGGCAGCGGUGGGGAAUUUUCCGCAAUGGGCGAAAGCCUGACGGAGCAAUACCGCGUGAGGGAAGAAGGCUCUUGGGUUGUAAACCUCUUUUCUUAGGGAAGAACAAACUGACGGUACCUAAGGAAUAAGCAUCGGCUAACUCCGUG